Molecule: ribosomal RNA, 404 nt
Filed under: Pichia kudriavzevii
Lineage: Eukaryota; Fungi; Ascomycota; Pichiomycetes; Pichiales; Pichiaceae
Description: eukaryotic LSU rRNA
Rfam family: 5.8S ribosomal RNA (bases 36-188)
Source: RNAcentral
AUAGUCGACAAGAGAAAUCUACGAAAAACAAACAAAACUUUCAACAACGGAUCUCUUGGUUCUCGCAUCGAUGAAGAGCGCAGCGAAAUGCGAUACCUAGUGUGAAUUGCAGCCAUCGUGAAUCAUCGAGUUCUUGAACGCACAUUGCGCCCCUCGGCAUUCCGGGGGGCAUGCCUGUUUGAGCGUCGUUUCCAUCUUGCGCGUGCGCAGAGUUGGGGGAGCGGAGCGGACGACGUGUAAAGAGCGUCGGAGCUGCGACUCGCCUGAAAGGGAGCGAAGCUGGCCGAGCGAACUAGACUUUUUUUCAGGGACGCUUGGCGGCCGAGAGCGAGUGUUGCGAGACAACAAAAAGCUCGACCUCAAAUCAGGUAGGAAUACCCGCUGAACUUAAGCAUAUCAAUAAG